GUAGGGAAUAUUGGGCAAUGGAUGCAAGUCUGACCCAGCCAUGCCGCGUGGAGGAAGAAGGUCCUCUGGAUUGUAAACUCCUUUUUUGGGGGAAGAAUAGUUCUCUUGCGAGGGAAUGUGACGGUACCCUAAGAAUAAGCCACGGCUAACUACGUGCCAGCAGCCGCGGUAAUACGUAGGUGGCAAGCGUUGUCCGGAUUUAUUGGGUUUAAAGGGUGCGUAGGUGGUUUGAUAAGUCAGUGGUGAAAGCCGGUUGCUCAACAAUCGAGUUGCCAUUGAUACUGUCGGACUUGAGAGAAGUGGAGGUUCAUGGAAUGGAUGGUGUAGCGGUGAAAUGCAUAGAUAUCAUCCAGAACGUCGAUUGCGAAGGCAGUGGGCUGUACUUUAUCUGACACUGAGGCACGAAAGUGUGGGGAUCAAACAGGAUUAGAAACCCUUGUAGUCC
This 445-nucleotide ribosomal RNA is filed under the name uncultured bacterium. RNAcentral's name for it is "bacterial SSU rRNA". It matches the Rfam family "Bacterial small subunit ribosomal RNA", at positions 354 to 796 of the family's 1533-position model. The record is from RNAcentral.